Molecule: long non-coding RNA, 303 nt
Filed under: Lupinus angustifolius (narrow-leaved blue lupine)
Lineage: Eukaryota; Viridiplantae; Streptophyta; Magnoliopsida; Fabales; Fabaceae
Description: long non-coding RNA (LANG_LNC002311)
Source: RNAcentral
AGACCCCUUGCCAAACAAACGAGGUAGGUUGCGACUAUUACGUGCUGAAAUUCAUGAAGGAGAUCAUUCAACAGUGGCCAACUAAUGAAAUCAAGUUUGUUUGCAAAUCAUAUACAUAUGACCAAGUCAACCAGAUUAGAGAAUAAUGGUCAAAGUUUGUACUUAGUUUAGUUCGCAAAUGAUAGGUAUAGUAGAUUAUUUUUGCACAGAUUGUAGCUUAGGGAAUUCAAUUAAUGUUCAAUUUAAUGUAUAUGAUUUGGCCUAUGUAAUAUAUGUUUCAGUAAACAGUGUAAUUAAUGUUCA